GAGGAAUAUUGCGCAAUGGAGGCAACUCUGACGCAGCCAUGCCGCGUGAAGGAGUGAAGGUCCUAUGGAUUGUAAACUUCUUUUGUACGGGAAAAAACCCCUGGUCUUGACCGGGGCUGAUGGUACCGUAAGAAUAAGGACCGGCUAACUCCGUGCCAGCAGCCGCGGUAAUACGGAGGGUGCAAGCGUUAUCCGGAUUUAUUGGGUCUAAAGGGUCCGUAGGCGGAUCGUUAAGUCAGCGGUGAAAGCCCACAGCUCAACUGUGGAAUUGCCGUUGAUACUGGCGAUCUUGAGUGCAAGUGAAGUUGGCGGAAUGUGCGGUGUAGCGGUGAAAUGCUUAGAUAUCGCACAGAACACCUAUUGCGAAGGCAGCUGGCUAAUUUGCAACUGACGCUGAGGGACGAAAGCGUGGGGAUCAAAC
This 421-nucleotide ribosomal RNA is filed under the name uncultured bacterium. RNAcentral's name for it is "bacterial SSU rRNA". It matches the Rfam family "Bacterial small subunit ribosomal RNA", at positions 356 to 773 of the family's 1533-position model. The record is from RNAcentral.